This 830-nucleotide long non-coding RNA is filed under the name Capsicum annuum. RNAcentral's name for it is "long non-coding RNA (CANN_LNC021499)". Lineage: Eukaryota; Viridiplantae; Streptophyta; Magnoliopsida; Solanales; Solanaceae. The record is from RNAcentral.
CCGAGGCCAGUGGUCUCACGGAGAAAGAAGAGAACAAGAAGAAAAACAAGAAGGUGGCAAUGUCCAUUACCAGAAAGUGCACGGUAAUCUAAACGUUGGUGACCUCUUGGUAGUCCCAGCAAGCCAUCCUAUUACCCUUAUAGCCACUGGAGGCUCAAAUUUCAGGCUAGUUGCGUUUGGUGUGAAUGCUCAAAACAACAAAAAGAACUUCCUUGCAGGUAUACUCCUAAGUUUCCUCUGUUCUUUCACAUAUUCCAACAUCUUCAAUGAGAGUAAUUCCUUUUUGUGAACAAUUAACAUGCCAAUAUUAGUACAGGUGUUUUGGUAGGUGAGAUAACGAUAAUAAUUCUAGGAUAAAAUUGAGAUUGAACUUUAUUUGAUAUUUGAUUUAAGAUAUUCCCUAAUUUAGGGAUAAUUUUUUCCCAUCUUUUGUGGAUUACUACCCCAUAUAGAAGAACCCUGUAAGAUGUCCUUGCUUUGCUCGAGUACUGAACGACCCCAAAGUGUAUUAAAUCUGCUAUACCAACGUUAACUAAUUUCACUUAGUAUGUAUUAUUGCCAUCAAUAUUUUACAGUAUUAAGCGUGUUCCUAUAACAACUUAGCAUGUUAUAGUGUAACAACUUGAUCAUAUUAGAUUUUUAUCGUUAACUCUCUCUUGGUUUGGCAAAAUAGGUAAAGUAAACUUAUGGAGAAACGUAGACAGGGAAGCAAAGGAACUGUCAUUCAACAUGCCUGGAAGGGAGGUAGAAGAGAUCUUCCAAAAGCAAGACCAAUCCUUCUUUGUGGCAGGGCCCGGGCAGCAGAGGGAGAGGGGUGAACAAGGAAAAAG